UCAAUGUUGCCAUGCCUGCCUUGAGUCCAGGCAUACCAGGGCCGAACGUGUCAGGAAGCAGAAAGAGCCAUCCUCCAACGCCAUCAAACUUUAUCUUAUUGUUCUUAGGCACCCAAGUUGGUGUUCCUUCAUAGUUUUGUGGUAUAGAAAGUUUGUGGAGUUGACGCAUAUUUGACUCUAUAAUCUUUUUUAUUAUAGUGAUUUCAAGUUGAAAACUCAC
This 220-nucleotide long non-coding RNA is filed under the name Prunus persica (peach). Its description in RNAcentral is "long non-coding RNA (PPER_LNC000299)". Lineage: Eukaryota; Viridiplantae; Streptophyta; Magnoliopsida; Rosales; Rosaceae. The record is from RNAcentral.